GCCGAAAUAGCUCAGCUGGUAGAGCAAUGCUUUCGUAAAGCAGAGGUCGCGGGUUCGAAUCCCGCUUUCGGCUCCA
This 76-nucleotide transfer RNA is filed under the name Candidatus Uhrbacteria bacterium. RNAcentral describes it as "tRNA-Thr". It matches the Rfam family "tRNA". From Rfam's summary of the family: Transfer RNA (tRNA) molecules are approximately 80 nucleotides in length. Their secondary structure includes four short double-helical elements and three loops (D, anti-codon, and T loops). Lineage: Bacteria; Candidatus Uhriibacteriota. The record is from RNAcentral.